RNAcentral lists this ribosomal RNA (253 nucleotides) under uncultured bacterium. RNAcentral describes it as "partial 16S ribosomal RNA". It matches the Rfam family "Bacterial small subunit ribosomal RNA", at positions 524 to 776 of the family's 1533-position model. The record is from RNAcentral.
UACGUAGGGGGCAAGCGUUAUCCGGAAUUACUGGGCGUAAAGCGCACGCAGGCGGUUCGCCAAGUUUGGAGUGACAGUUGUCGGCUCAACCGACAAAGGACUUCAAAAACUGGUGAGCUUGAGGACGAGAGAGGAACAUGGAACUCCAGGUGUAGUAGUGAAAUGCGUAGAUAUCUGGAAGAACACCAAUGGCGAAGGCAAUGUUCUGGCUCGUUUCUGACGCUGAGGAGCGAAAGCGUGGGGAGCGAACAGG